AUUGAACGCUGGCGGCAUGCUUUACACAUGCAAGUCGAACGGCAGCGCGGGGGCAACCCUGGCGGCGAGUGGCGAACGGGUGAGUAAUGCAUCGGAACGUAUCCUGUAAAUGGGGGAUAACGUAGCGAAAGUUACGCUAAUACCGCAUACGCUCGAGAGAGGAAAGUGGGGAUCGCAAGACCUCACGUUAUAGGAGCGGCCGAUGUCCGAUUAGCUAGUUGGUGGGUAACGCCUACCAAGGCGACGAUCGGUAGCUGGUCUGAGAGGAUAGAUCAGCCACACUGGGACUGAGACACGGCCCAGACUCCUACGGGAGGCAGCAGUGGGGAAUUUUGGACAAUGGGCGAAAGCCUGAUCCAGCCAUGCCGCGUGCCGGGAAGAA
This 382-nucleotide ribosomal RNA is filed under the name uncultured bacterium. RNAcentral describes it as "bacterial SSU rRNA". It matches the Rfam family "Bacterial small subunit ribosomal RNA", at positions 30 to 412 of the family's 1533-position model. The record is from RNAcentral.